CGCUGGCGGCAGGCCUAACACAUGCAAGUCGAACGGUAACAGGAAGCAGCUUGCUGCUUUGCUGACGAGUGGCGGACGGGUGAGUAAUGUCUGGGAAACUGCCUGAUGGAGGGGGAUAACUACUGGAAACGGUGGCUAAUACCGCAUAACGUCGCAAGACCAAAGAGGGGGACCUUCGGGCCUCUUGCCAUCAGAUGUGCCCAGAUGGGAUUAGCUUGUUGGUGAGGUAACGGCUCACCAAGGCGACGAUCCCUAGCUGGUCUGAGAGGAUGACCAGCCACACUGGAACUGAGACACGGUCCAGACUCCUACGGGAGGCAGCAGUGGGGAAUAUUGCACAAUGGGCGCAAGCCUGAUGCAGCCAUGCCGCGUGUAUGAAGAAGGCCUUCGGGUUGUAAAGUACUUUCAGCGGGGAGGAAGGUGUUGUGGUUAAUAACCGCAGCAAUUGACGUUACCCGCAGAAGAAGCACCGGCUAACUCC
RNAcentral lists this ribosomal RNA (481 nucleotides) under Salmonella enterica subsp. enterica serovar Panama. RNAcentral's name for it is "bacterial SSU rRNA". It matches the Rfam family "Bacterial small subunit ribosomal RNA", at positions 34 to 504 of the family's 1533-position model. The record is from RNAcentral. Lineage: Bacteria; Pseudomonadati; Pseudomonadota; Gammaproteobacteria; Enterobacterales; Enterobacteriaceae.